UUCAUCAACUAAGGGCUUACAUAUGGCAGAACUAAAACUGCCUAAGUGAUGAAACAUUCCAUAGAGACGUAAGUGCAAUUUGCGUAUUGCUAUUAAGAUAUUAAGAGCAAAAAAGCGUCUUAUAGCAAUUGCAAGAUGUUAAGAGUAAACAAAUUUGGGUAAAAUUCAGAUAUAAUUGCACUAUAUCUGUUUUUU
RNAcentral lists this non-coding RNA (195 nucleotides) under unclassified sequences. Its description in RNAcentral is "FuFi-1 RNA". It matches the Rfam family "FuFi-1 RNA". The record is from Rfam by way of RNAcentral.